This 436-nucleotide ribosomal RNA is filed under the name uncultured bacterium. Its description in RNAcentral is "bacterial SSU rRNA". It matches the Rfam family "Bacterial small subunit ribosomal RNA", at positions 29 to 507 of the family's 1533-position model. The record is from RNAcentral.
AACGAACGCUGGCGGCAGGCCUAACACAUGCAAGUCGAACGCCCUAGCAAUAGGGAGUGGCAGACGGGUGAGUAACACGUGGGAACCUUCCCUAUAGUAUGGAAUAGCCCAGGGAAACUUGGAGUAAUACCGUAUACGCCCGAGAGGGGAAAGAUUUAUCGCUAUAGGAUGGGCCCGCGUAGGAUUAGCUAGUUGGUGAGGUAAUGGCUCACCAAGGCGACGAUCCUUAGCUGGUCUGAGAGGACGACCAGCCACACUGGGACUGAGACACGGCCCAGACUCCUACGGGAGGCAGCAGUGGGGAAUAUUGGACAAUGGGCGCAAGCCUGAUCCAGCCAUGCCGCGUGAGUGAUGAAGGCCUUAGGGUUGUAAAGCUCUUUUGCCGGGGUACGAGUAAUGACGGUACCCGGAGAAGAAGACCCCGGCUAACUCCGUG